RNAcentral lists this ribosomal RNA (468 nucleotides) under uncultured bacterium. RNAcentral's name for it is "partial 16S ribosomal RNA". It matches the Rfam family "Bacterial small subunit ribosomal RNA", at positions 28 to 507 of the family's 1533-position model. The record is from RNAcentral.
GACGAACGCUGGCGGCGUGCUUAACACAUGCAAGUCGAACGGAAAGGCCCUGCUUUUGUGGGGUGCUCGAGUGGCGAACGGGUGAGUAACAAGUGAGUAACCUGCCCUUGACUUUCGGAUAACUUCAGGAAACUGGGGCUAAUACCGGAUAGGAGCUCCUGCUGCAUGGUGGGGGUUGGAAAGUUUCGGCGGUUGGGGAUGGACUCGCGGCUUAUCAGCUUGUUGGUGGGGUAGUGGCUUACCAAGGCUUUGACGGGUAGCCGGCCUGGGAGGGUGACCGGCCACAUUGGGACUGAGAGACGGCCCAGACUCCUACGGGAGGCAGCAGUGGGGAAUAUUGCACAAUGGGCGGAAGCCUGAUGCAGCAACGCCGCGUGCGGGAUGACGGCCUUCGGGUUGUAAACCGCUUUCGCCUGUGACGAAGCGUGAGUGACGGUAAUGGGUAAAGAAGCACCGGCUAACUACGUG